UCGACGGCAGCGCGGGGCAACCUGGCGGCGAGUGGCGAACGGGUGAGUAAUAUAUCGGAACGUACCCUGGAGUGGGGGAUAACGUAGCGAAAGUUACGCUAAUACCGCAUACGAUCUAAGGAUGAAAGUGGGGGAUCGCAAGACCUCAUGCUCCUGGAGCGGCCGAUAUCUGAUUAGCUAGUUGGUGGGGUAAAGGCCUACCAAGGCGACGAUCAGUAGCGGGUCUGAGAGGAUGAUCCGCCACACUGGGACUGAGACACGGCCCAGACUCCUACGGGAGGCAGCAGUGGGGAAUUUUGGACAAUGGGGGCAACCCUGAUCCAGCCAUUCCGCGUGAGUGAAGAAGGCCUUCGGGUUGUAAAGCUCUUUCAGCUGGAACGAAACGGUACGCGCUAACAUCGUGUGCUAAUGACGGUACCGGCAGAAGAAGCACCGGCUAACUACGUGCCAGCAGCCGUGGUAAUACGUAGGGUGCGAGCGUUAAUCGGAAUUACUGGGCGUAAAGCGUGCGCAGGCGGAUUGUUAAGCAAGACGUGAAAUCCCCGGGCUUAACCUGGGAAUGGCGUUUUGAACUGGCAGUCUAGAGUGCGUCAGAGGGGGGUGGAAUUCCACGUGUAGCAGUGAAAUGCGUAGAGAUGUGGAGGAACACCGAUGGCGAAGGCAGCCCCCUGGGAUGACACUGACGCUCAUGUACGAAAGCGUGGGUAGCAAACAGGAUUAGAUACCCUGGUAGUCCACGCCCUAAACGAUGUCAACUGGUUGUUGGGGGGAGUGAAAUCCCUUAGUAACGAAGCUAACGCGUGAAG
Molecule: ribosomal RNA, 806 nt
Filed under: uncultured bacterium
Lineage: Bacteria
Description: bacterial SSU rRNA
Rfam family: Bacterial small subunit ribosomal RNA
Source: RNAcentral